This 506-nucleotide ribosomal RNA is filed under the name uncultured bacterium. RNAcentral's name for it is "partial 16S ribosomal RNA". It matches the Rfam family "Bacterial small subunit ribosomal RNA", at positions 29 to 523 of the family's 1533-position model. The record is from RNAcentral.
AUUGAACGCUGGCGGCAUGCCUAACACAUGCAAGUCGAACGGCAGCACGGUCCAGUUUACUGGAUGGGUGGCGAGUGGCGGACGGGUGAGUAACGCGUAGGAAUAUGCCUUGAAGAGGGGGAUAACUUGGGGAAACUCAAGCUAAUACCGCAUAAUCUCUUAGGAGGAAAGCUGGGGACCUUCGGGCCUGGCGCUUUAAGAUUAGCCUGCGUAGGAUUAGCUAGUUGGUGGGGUAAGGGCCUACCAAGGCGAAGACCGUUAGCUGGUCUGAGAGGAUGGCGAGACAGACUGGAACUGAGACACGGUCCAGACUCCUACGGGAGGCAGCAGUGGGGAAUAUUGGACAAUGGGGGGAACCCUGAUCCAGCAAUGCCGCGUGUGUGAAGAAGGCCUGAGGGUUGUAAAGCACUUUCAGUGGGGAGGAGGGUUGACAGGUUAAGAGCUAGUUAAUUGGACGUUACCCACAGAAGAAGCACCGGCUAACUCCGUGCCAGCAGCCGCAGUAA